This is a long non-coding RNA of Arachis stenosperma, 1284 nucleotides long. RefSeq lists it as uncharacterized. NCBI's taxonomy places the organism in Eukaryota, Viridiplantae, Streptophyta, Magnoliopsida, Fabales, Fabaceae. The transcript is spliced from 3 exons. The record is from RefSeq and is a predicted model, not a curated record.
CUGAGAGGAAACAAAAAUGGGUACAGAAGGGAAAAGGGGAAAAUGGAGAAGAGGAAGGAGAAGAGAGGGAGGAGGAAGGAACGACGCGGCUAGGACCUCACCGCCGCCGCCGUUGUGCCGACGCGAGUGAGAGAGAGACAUCCAGAACGAGCGUUGCGAGAACCAAGGGAAGGAGGCACCGUUCCGUCCCGUUGCCAUUGCGGGUUGCGCCUGAUCACCAGCGCAGAAGCUCCAUCGUCGCCAUUGCACGUGAGAGGAGGAGAUGACGUCGCUGAUCCUGAUUCUGUCUAAGCCCCUCAUCGUCGCUGGAAUCACGAAUCGGGGAGGAGAGGGAGGCUGCUUCCAUCGUCAUUCCAGGUGCCAGAGAAGACCGUCGCCGUUGAAGGAACCACCGCCGCCGAACCCAAGCUAUCACUGCCGCCGGAGUCACCGUGGUUGCCACUGGAGAAGUGUUAUGAACGCCGCUGCUACUGAACUACUUUAGUCACUGCUUCGAUCCCAUUCACCCCCCACAGCGUCCUCUGUUCUUGUCUUUGAAUCAGCACUGCCCUUGUUCCAGUUUCAAUUCCAAUUCUGCCAUUUCUGAAUAUUUCUGUCAAGGUAUGUUUGAAAAAUUAAAAUUGGUAGUGCUGUCGUCACCUUCUGGGUCACGUUGGAAUCACCUCUGCUGCCAUGAAACUAAAAGGGAACGGAGUUGUCAAGUUAAUCUAUAUGAACUCGGCUAAUCAAGUGCUUUGAGUCAGUGGAAUUGACCCUUCAUUGCCUUGUGAUAUGCCCAAAUGCAACUGCAGAUUGGUCGUUGGUGAAGGUUCAAGUACCUGGAGCUAGUUUGGAGGAAGUAAUAGUUCAGGAAAUGGCGGAUGCAUGUCAUGAAAAACACCUUUGGCAGAUUUACUGGAAGAAGACAAAUGGCUCUACUGGUUAGUCUCUCCUGUUAUUUAUGGAAGACUCGAAACACUCUUAUUUUUAUGGAAAGGAUAAGGGACCGAAUGAAAAUAUACAGAAGCGGUCAAGAUUGCAGAAGAGUUCUUUAUUGAAGUUCUUAGACAUUAAUUCCUUCUCUCUCUUUAUUAGGUUGUUUUCAUUUGUAAGUCGGGAGAUUCCGAAUCCUCUAAAUUAUGCUGGCUGUCCAAUUGGACCCAUCUUUUAUUCAUUUAAAUGAAGUAUUACUUUUGGAAAAAAAAUUGAACCAUCCAAUUUGAGGUUUCUAAUUAAAAAAAUUGCAAAAACAAACCGACCCUUCAAUUUGUAACUCGGAAAUUUUUAAAAUUAUGUUUCAUGAAA